ACGAACGCUGGCGGCGCGCCUAAUACAUGCAAGUCGAGCGAGAAGACGUAGCAAUACGUUUGUAAAGCGGCGAACGGGUGAGGAAUACAUGGGUAACCUACCCUCGAGUGGGGAAUAACUAGCCGAAAGGUUAGCUAAUACCGCGUACGCUCCUUGGACUUCGGUUCAGGGAGGAAAGCGAUACCGUGGGUAUCGCGCUCUUGGAUGGGCUCAUGUCCUAUCAGCUUGUUGGUGAGGAACGGCUCACCAAGGCUUCGACGGGUAGCUGGUCUGAGAGGACGAUCAGCCACACUGGCACUGCGACACGGGCCAGACUCCUACGGGAGGCAGCAGUAAGGAAUAUUGCGCAAUGGGCGAAAGCCUGACGCAGCGACGCCGCGUGGGGGA
This 387-nucleotide ribosomal RNA is filed under the name uncultured bacterium. RNAcentral's name for it is "bacterial SSU rRNA". It matches the Rfam family "Bacterial small subunit ribosomal RNA", at positions 29 to 408 of the family's 1533-position model. The record is from RNAcentral.